AAAUAGAUACCCCGGUAGUCCAUGCCGUAAACGUUGGGCACUAGGUGUGGGGCCAGUUCCACUGGUUCUGUGCCGCAGCUAACGCAUUAAGUGCCCCGCCUGGGGAGUACGGCCGCAAGGCUAAAACUCAAAGGAAUUGACGGGGGCCCGCACAAGCGGCGGAGCAUGCGGAUUAAUUCGAUGCAACGCGAAGAACCUUACCAAGGCUUGACAUGUACGAGAAAGCCCCAGAGAUGGGGUUCUCUUUGGACACUCGUACACAGGUGGUGCAUGGUUGUCGUCAGCUCGUGUCGUGAGAUGUUGGGUUAAGUCCCGCAACGAGCGCAACCCUUAUCCUAUGUUGCCAGCGGGUUAUGCCGGGGACUCAUGGGAGACUGCCGGGGUCAACUCGGAGGAAGUGGGGAUGACGUCAAAUCAUCAUGCCCCUUAUGUCUUGGGCUUCACGCAUGCUACAAUGGCCGGUACAGAGGGCUGCGAUACCGUGAGGUGGAGCGAAUCCCGAAAAAGCCGGUCUCAGUUCGGAUCGGGGUCUGCUAACCG
Molecule: ribosomal RNA, 540 nt
Filed under: uncultured bacterium
Lineage: Bacteria
Description: bacterial SSU rRNA
Rfam family: Bacterial small subunit ribosomal RNA
Source: RNAcentral